GAGUUCCAUCUCUGUAAUGGGCCUUGGACCAGUCUCGUUUCUGUACUUCUUUCUCAAGAAUGAAAUCCUCGUUGGAAAACCACGCUCACUUUCGCGCUUCUCUCUCAAAAUUUAGCUGCCAGAGGAACACACUGCGUAUAUAUAAAAGAAAGCGAUUGCUUAGAGAGAGUGAUGGUGAUCAUGGACGAUCCUCUUGAUUUCGAAUCUGAAGACCCACUUCUUAGUUCCCCUGUUAUUAAUCAGAAAAGCAGGAAGAAAGUUAUUGGCUUGGAUGAUCUUUUGACUGAUUACUAUAAGGAGAAAAGCAAAGUGAUUGAGAGGGAGUCUAAACGAGCAAAGGCUAAGAAGAAUUACAAUUCUGAUGAAGAUGACAAUGGCAAAGAAGCUUUACUAUCAAGAAAAAUUAAUGAGUGCCACAAUCAGAUGAGAGAAAUGAGUGGUGAGGAAGAGAUCUCCACAUGGGGUGUACAGGUUUUUGGAAAUCAGAAACCCCCACCGCCUCUUGUUUUUCCUGAGCUUGGAAGUUGCUCCUUAUUGCAGUCUUUUAUGAGCAAUAAACACCACACUUUGAUCGAACUGAGUACAGAAAAUGGGGACAAUUUUCUAGAAGGAUUAUUGGUAAAUGGCUGGCUCUCAAAAUUGGUUUCUGCACAUUGUCAUGUAGAAAAAUUGAUAGCCAAAUGGACUUUUAAUUUGAUGUUAUAUUCAUCAAAAGAAGAGUUGAGGACAUCUGCAUGUGACUUCUGGUGGAUCAUUCUUUCUCCUGAUAAUAAGGCGGAGAAGCUGCCUGUUAGAAUUGAGUGGUUUCCUAGCUACUCUGAUUUUCAAAGAGCUCUUGAAAUAUAUGGAUUUCUAUUUGAUUUUUCAUCACAUCCAAAAUUGUUAAAUAUGGAUUCUAGUGGAAGAGGACCACCUAACAAUAUUAGAGGCUGGAUUAAAUUCACUUCUGCUUGUUGUCUUGUGAGGAGCAAACAAUCUAUCUUUUCAACUUCAGAAGCUGAAGAAUUGGUUAAAUUCCUUAUUUGUCUGUCUUUAGAUCGCCAGCUUCAAGGUUUGCAGGUGCUUUUGAAUAAAUGCAUGCAAUCAGCUAUCAGUUACUUCACAGAUGAGGAAUGGAGUACCAGCUGUGAAAAAAUAGCAAGAACUCUUGCUUGCAGAAUCCCCAUGGAUUUGAACUGCUUGCGAUCUGUGGAGUGCAUUUCAGGAGUAGGUACUCGUAGUAAUCACCUCAGAAGUGCGGUUUCUUAUCAGAUUCUGCUUGUUUGUUUUAAUAGUGAGGCCACUGAUGAAGUAGAGAUCCUGAACUUGCUCAUCUCAAUUAAUGUGAAAGACAAAAAUUGUGAUUUUUUCAAGAUGUAUAUUUACCUGGUUUUGACGGAGAAUUGGCUCUUGUCCAAUCCGAUGUUGGAACAUAAGCCAGUCAUCUAUGAAAUGUGGGGUGUUUAUCUGCGAAACUGUUCUUGCCAAAUCAAUGGCACAGAUUUGAGGCCUUAUGCAUCAAAGGUUCGUACCAAAGCUUCAUAUCUUCUACAUGGUACCUCCAAGAAAUAAUCAUUGCAAACCUUGUAGGGGAAAUAAAAUGGCUUCUAACUGGUAACAAUCAACUCCUGUAUCCACCGGUUUGUCUAGCUCCUGGAAAAGUUGUCAAGUUCGCGUCACCCAUUAUAUGGCAACUCAGUGUAAAUGAAUUUGAGGCCACAAAACAAGAGAUGAUGGAGGUAAGGUUGCAGAAAGCAACCUUCUUUUGAGUUGUAUAGGUGUAAGAGCAACUAUUUUAGCACUAAACUGGGGCGCUGGUACAAGUAAGGCAACCUCACUUCUCUGGACCCUCAAGUUACUCUUUUUUGGUUGUGAUAUGGCAUGGAGGGCUGAUGGCAAAUGUGCUGUUUAGACUUUGGUAUUCAUUCUUUAUCUCAAGAUAAUUUUUAUUUCAAA
RNA transcript from Hevea brasiliensis (rubber tree), 1935 nucleotides. RefSeq lists it as uncharacterized. The record is from RefSeq and is a predicted model, not a curated record. The transcript has 14 exons. NCBI's taxonomy places the organism in Eukaryota, Viridiplantae, Streptophyta, Magnoliopsida, Malpighiales, Euphorbiaceae.